AUUGAACGCUGGCGGCAUGCUUUACACAUGCAAGUCGAACGGUAACAGGCCUUCGGGUGCUGACGAGUGGCGAACGGGUGAGUAAUGCAUCGGAACGUACCCAGAGGUGGGGGAUAACGCAGCGCAAGCUGUGCUAAUACCGCAUGUGAUCUGAGGAUGAAAGCGGGGGACCGAGCAGCAAUGUUUGGCCUCGCGCCUUUGGAGCGGCCGAUGUCGGAUUAGCUAGUUGGUGGGGUAAAGGCCUACCAAGGCGACGAUCCGUAGCUGGUCUGAGAGGACGACCAGCCACACUGGGACUGAGACACGGCCCAGACUCCUACGGGAGGCAGCAGUGGGGAAUUUUGGACAAAGGGCGCAAGCCUGAUCCAGCAAUGCCGCGUGCGGGAAGAAGGCCUUCGGGUUGUAAACCGCUUUUGGCAGGAACGAAACGGUGUCCGCUAAUACCGGGCGCUAAUGACGGUACCUGCAGAAUAAGCACCGGCUAACUACGUG
This 492-nucleotide ribosomal RNA is filed under the name uncultured bacterium. Its description in RNAcentral is "partial 16S ribosomal RNA". It matches the Rfam family "Bacterial small subunit ribosomal RNA", at positions 29 to 507 of the family's 1533-position model. The record is from RNAcentral.